UAGAUAUAGAUCAGACGUUAGGGAGAAAAGGGGGAAGAAUAGAAAUUGAUAAAACGAGACAACACGAAAAAUUCAUGUAAUAUAAACAAACCUAAUGUAGUGAUUUACAUAUAUGUGUAAUCUCUGUGUGGAACUGUGUGGAACUGUGAUUCGUCGUUUGAAGAAAAGAUGGGAAAGAAAAGAAAUAUUCAACCACCACCAAUAAUGCCAGGGCGGAUUAAAGUGGAAAUAAAAGAUGAAAUAGGCGAUAGUGAUGUUCUUGUAGCAAGGGAUCGUUUAAAGGGUGCUCUUCGAGAAUUAUUACAGCAUAGUGAUACAGGUUCUUCCGCAGAUUCAGGUGAAGAAAAUUCGAUUCAUGAUAAUUAUAAACACCCAAUGAAAAAGAUGGCGAAAUCUGUUAACCUUCAGCAACCACAACGAAAAAUCAGACGUCGUCGACAAAUACAAACUGAUACAGUGUUUCAUCAUACUUACGUGAUGAAGCUUUUUGAUCGCAGUGUUGAUUUAGCUCAAUUUCAAGAGGAUACGCCGCUUUAUCCUAUAUGUCGUGCCUGGAUGGCUAAUCAACCAAGAAAUCCUAAUUUGGUUCCCAAAGUUCGUAGUCCUAGCCCAGAAAUAGUUAAUGAAGUUAAUAUAAUGAACAAUCUAAUUAAUGCUAAUGGGGAGAUAAAUGAUGUCCAUUAUUUGCCAUCUCCUUUACCCCGUGUGGAGGCUAUACCAAGAAAUCGCAUUCCGUCUCCUAUACUUGGAGCAAAGGAUGAUUUGAACUUGGAUUAUGAAGGACAAACUCUCAAAUCGCGAGAACAAUUAGUGAAAGAACAUUCCACACGGUGGAACGCUAUUCGCAAAAAGUGGCACCAACAGGCACAUAAAAAUGAACGACGUUAUAUACAGAGUGCUACUAUCCUUAGCACUAUUUUUACAAAAGCACAAUCGGAAUUUGAAUAGCAGAGACGUGGCAGUCCAAUGACUGCCGAUUUUUCCGUCAUUGAUAAUUCCGUUUCUGAUCAUUUUUAUUACGUCAUCAAGGAAUAAUUUCUUAUUUGUGCUAUUUUUCUAUCUGUCUUCAUUGAAGAAACUUGUGAUCAUGUUUUAACCAAGUUCUGAUACAACAAAUUAUCUGAUAUCAAUAUAAAAGAAUAAAUAUUGCAAUAAUGCUUGUAAUUGUUUCUUUGAAUAAAACUUAUUAUGUAUUAUGG
RNAcentral lists this unclassified non-coding RNA (1199 nucleotides) under Ooceraea biroi (clonal raider ant). Its description in RNAcentral is "protein lin-37 homolog, transcript variant X1". The record is from RNAcentral. Lineage: Eukaryota; Metazoa; Arthropoda; Insecta; Hymenoptera; Formicidae.